UGGGGAAUAUUGCACAAUGGAGGGAACUCUGAUGCAGCGACGCCGCGUGAACGAAGAAGGCUUUCGAGUCGUAAAGUUCUUUUAUAUGGGAAGAUAAUGACGGUACCAUAAGAAAAAGCCCCGGCUAACUACGUGCCAGCAGCCGCGGUAAUACGUAGGGGGCUAGCGUUGUCCGGAAUCACUGGGCGUAAAGGGUUCGCAGGCGGAAAUGCAAGUCAGGUGUAAAAGGCAGUAGCUUAACUACUGUAAGCAUUUGAAACUGCAUAUCUUGAGAAGAGUAGAGGUAAGUGGAAUUAGUAGUGUAGCGGUGAAAUGCGUAGAUAUUAAAAAGAAUACCGGUGGCGAAGGCGACUUACUGGGCUCAUUCUGACGCUGAGGAACGAAAGCGUGGGUAGCAAACAGG
RNAcentral lists this ribosomal RNA (403 nucleotides) under bacterium. RNAcentral's name for it is "partial 16S ribosomal RNA". It matches the Rfam family "Bacterial small subunit ribosomal RNA", at positions 355 to 776 of the family's 1533-position model. The record is from RNAcentral.